RNAcentral lists this transfer RNA (71 nucleotides) under Cordylochernes scorpioides. RNAcentral describes it as "tRNA-Gly". Lineage: Eukaryota; Metazoa; Arthropoda; Arachnida; Pseudoscorpiones; Chernetidae. The record is from RNAcentral.
UGCAUCGGCCGGGAACGAACCCAGGCCGGCCCGCGUGGCAGGCGAGCAUUCUACCACUGAACCACCGAUGG